This 440-nucleotide ribosomal RNA is filed under the name uncultured bacterium. RNAcentral's name for it is "bacterial SSU rRNA". It matches the Rfam family "Bacterial small subunit ribosomal RNA", at positions 355 to 787 of the family's 1533-position model. The record is from RNAcentral.
UGGGGAAUAUUGCGCAAUGGGCGAAAGCCUGACGCAGCGACGCCGCGUGAGGGAUGAAGGUCUUCGGAUCGUAAACCUCUGUCAGCAGGGAAGAAAGUUAUGCGUGCUAAUCAGCGUGUAAUUGACGGUACCUGCAAAGGAAGCACCGGCUAACUCCGUGCCAGCAGCCGCGGUAAUACGGAGGGUGCGAGCGUUAUCCGGAUUCAUUGGGCGUAAAGCGCGCGUAGGCGGCCGCCUAAGCGGAACCUCUAAUCCCGGGGCUCAACCUCGGGCCGGGUUCCGGACUGGGCGGCUCGAGUGCGGUAGAGGCAGGCGGAAUUCCCGGUGUAGCGGUGGAAUGCGCAGAUAUCGGGAAGAACACCGAUGGCGAAGGCAGCCUGCUGGGCCGCCACUGACGCUGAGGCGCGAAAGCUGGGGGAGGCGAACAGGAUUAGAUACCC